UACGUAGGGUGCAAGCGUUAAUCGGAAUUACUGGGCGUAAAGCGUGCGCAGGCGGUUAUGUAAGACAGAUGUGAAAUGCCCGGGCUUAACCUGGGAACUGCAUUUGUGACUGCAUGGCUAGAGUUUGGCAGAGGGGGGUAGAAUUCCACGUGUAGCAGUGAAAUGCGUAGAUAUCUGGAGGAACACCGGUGGCGAAGGCGGCAUCCUGGACCAACACUGACACUGAGGAGCGAAAGCCAGGGGAGCAAACGGG
RNAcentral lists this ribosomal RNA (253 nucleotides) under uncultured bacterium. RNAcentral describes it as "partial 16S ribosomal RNA". It matches the Rfam family "Bacterial small subunit ribosomal RNA", at positions 524 to 776 of the family's 1533-position model. The record is from RNAcentral.